Molecule: unclassified non-coding RNA, 229 nt
Filed under: plant metagenome
Description: partial contains small subunit ribosomal RNA, internal transcribed spacer 1, and 5.8S ribosomal RNA
Source: RNAcentral
UCUCCGUAGGUGAACCUGCGGAGGGAUCAUUCCAGAGUUCAUGCCCUACCGGGUAGAUCUCCCACCCUAUGUUAUUAUUACUUUGUUGCUUUGGCGGGCCGUUAGGCUCCGGCCCGACUACCGGCCCCGGCUGGUAAGCGCCCGCCAGAGGACCCAAAACCCUGAAUAUUAGUGUCGUCUGAGUACUAUAUAAUAGUUAAAACUUUCAACAACGGAUCUCUUGGUUCUG